Non-coding RNA from Salvelinus sp. IW2-2015, 935 nucleotides. The record is from RefSeq and is a predicted model, not a curated record. Lineage: Eukaryota; Metazoa; Chordata; Actinopteri; Salmoniformes; Salmonidae.
AUUGGUGGUGGAUGAGGUGAUUUUCCUCCCCUUACAGAGCUUUGAGCAUCUGGAAACGCACUAUAUAAAUGCAAUCAUUUAUUAUUAUCAACACAGGAUGCGUGUGAGAGAGAGAAAGAGUCCCUGAGUGAGGUAGAGAGGUCGUAACAGGAAGAGAGAUACACAGCCAGAGAGGUAGACAAAGUUAAAAGGAAGUGUUCUUGUCUGAUGCUAGUGAAAGAUGAAUAUAACAACAGAUGAUAUACAACAAAUGUCUUCCGUCAACCCAUCUGUUCACGGGCUCAACGGAACCAGCAACAACCCACAAAGACAGUGCUGGUUAUACCCUGACCCCAUCGACACACAAGUCAAACCCUGGCUCUACCUGGUCCUGUCACUCCUGGGUUUCCUAGCCAACGGCCUGACCCUGCGUGAAUUCAGGAGGUCGGAGAGGACCCCUACCGUCAUACUGACCCUCAAACUGGUGACCUCUGACCUCUUUGCUGUGCACCAGCUUUCUGUUCCGGGUGGUUUACUACCCGAGGGGUCACAUCUGGUCUGGAGAGGAUAAGGUGUGUCAGGCCGCCAUGCUAACCAUGAUAGCAGUCUUCUACGUCAACCUCUACUGUAACAUAAUGCUGCUUCUCUGGACCAGUGUGACGCGCUAUGCACCGUGGUGCGGCCCUGCCCUGCUGUCCUCGUGCCCUUCACUAGGCCCAGAGAAUGCUGGGUACUCUGCAUCAUCACCUGGGUAACUGGGUAACGGUGGUGAGUGCCAAUGUGGUACUUCAGUUCGGACAAGGAAAAGGAAGAGGAGGACACAGCUGCUUUGACAUGUUGGAGAAUCAACACAGAGAAAGCGUUAAACUACCAACACUGCCUGGGGGUGGCCCUGUUUUUUGUGAUUCUCAUCCUUAUUCUGGUCAGCUAUGGGGAUUAGUGUUGCAUCUGCAGAA